UACGUAGGAGGCAAGCGUUGUCCGGAAUUACUGGGCGUAAAGCGCGUGUAGGUGGUGGGACAAGUCUGCUGUGAAAGCGCCUGGCUUAACCGGGCGAGGUCGGCGGAAACUGUCCGACUCGAGGACGGUAGAGGGGGGUGGAAUUCCCGGUGUAGUGGUGAAAUGCGUAGAGAUCGGAAAGAACACCAACGGCGAAAGCACUCUGCUGGGCCGACACUGACACUGAGAGACGAAAGCUAGGGGAGCGAAUGGG
RNAcentral lists this ribosomal RNA (253 nucleotides) under uncultured bacterium. Its description in RNAcentral is "partial 16S ribosomal RNA". It matches the Rfam family "Bacterial small subunit ribosomal RNA", at positions 524 to 776 of the family's 1533-position model. The record is from RNAcentral.